UAGCCGUAGGUGAACCUGCGGCUGGAUCAUUAUCGAGCUAAACAGAAACACUGUUUCUUCGUGGCGGACCUUCAAAUACGGUGCAUUCGUUUGAUGCAUGUCUGUAUGCCACAGUGACCAACGGCCCAAGCUGGUGUCUGGCCUUUGCUGAGCGACUGUUGCACAAGCCGUGGUCGUGUUGAAGCAUCGGCGAUGCGCAUACGUCCUGCUAGUUCAGUGUAGCGGAUGCGAAGACUCAAUGAGAGGCAGUCCCGUUCUCCGCCAGCAAUCUUUUUUUCAAUGAAAAUUUUCUACACGGCUUUGGCCAAUAACAAACAUAUCAGUCUUACCGGUGGAUCACUCGGUUCGU
This 349-nucleotide unclassified non-coding RNA is filed under the name soil metagenome. RNAcentral describes it as "partial contains small subunit ribosomal RNA, internal transcribed spacer 1, and 5.8S ribosomal RNA". The record is from RNAcentral.